GCGGGCUCCGGGCUUGCCCACCUCGGCAGGCGGCGCGGCCCCUUCAGGCGCCGGGCGUCUCCGGCCGCGGCGCAGCCCGGAUGUAGCGGCAGCAGGCGGCCGCAGGAGCCCCCGGCCCGGGAGAACAUGGCGCUGCCAGCGGUGUGAGCGCGGGGAUGAAGCCGGGGAGCGCCUGAGCGCCGCCAGGGGUUCUGCUGAUGCCAUAAACUCCAGGAACACAGAUGAAGUUGUGCAGGAACACCAGCAGAGCUUGGAAAGUGAAUUAAUAGCAAGGUGUUUGUUUACAGUCUUCUGUAAAAUGCUGCUGGGAAUAUCUGGUUCGUUUUUUUAAACCUUCAGUGAUGAUCCAAACAUUGAGAGGCAUCUCAUGGGCCAGCUAUCAAGAGAUACCCUGUUAUGCUGUGGUGGGGCGAAUGAAGGCAUUUUCAACCAUAAACAAGUGAGCGUACAGCUUCGUGGAGAGCUGGAAGAGGCAGUCCAGUUCCUUUUUUCAUAUAUGAAUGAAUGUACUGACACAGAGAAUAGCUGCAUGCAGCUCUGGUUUUGGUUUUUACGUCAUGGAUGUUUGGCCUCAAGACAGG
Molecule: long non-coding RNA, 581 nt
Filed under: Crocodylus porosus (Australian saltwater crocodile)
Lineage: Eukaryota; Metazoa; Chordata; Crocodylia; Crocodylidae
Description: lncRNA (ENSCPRG00005012102.1)
Source: RNAcentral